CUACGGGGGGCAGCAGUCGAGAAUCUUCGGCAAUGGGCGAAAGCCUGACCGAGCGACGCCGCGUGCGGGAUGAAGGCCUUCGGGUUGUAAACCGCUGUCAGAGGGGAGGAAAUCCUGGGGGGCUAUCCCCUCAGGUUGACCUAGCCUCAGAGGAAGGACGGGCUAAGUUCGUGCCAGCAGCCGCGGUAAGACGAACCGUCCAAACGUUAUUCGGAAUCACUGGGCUUAAAGGGUGCGUAGGCGGUCCGGCAAGUUGGGUGUGAAAGCCCUCGGCUCAACCGAGGAACUGCGCUCAAAACUGCCGGACUCGAGGGAGACAGAGGCGAGCGGAACUUAGGGUGGAGCGGUGAAAUGCGUUGAUAUCCUAAGGAACACCAGUAGCGAAAGCGGCUCGCUGGGUCUCUUCUGACGCUCAUACACGAAAGCUAGGGGAGCGAACGGGAUUAGAUACCCUCGUAGUC
This 461-nucleotide ribosomal RNA is filed under the name uncultured bacterium. Its description in RNAcentral is "partial 16S ribosomal RNA". It matches the Rfam family "Bacterial small subunit ribosomal RNA", at positions 339 to 795 of the family's 1533-position model. The record is from RNAcentral.